AUUGAACGCUGGCGGCAUGCCUUACACAUGCAAGUCGAACGGCAGCACGGGUGCUUGCACCUGGUGGCGAGUGGCGAACGGGUGAGUAAUACAUCGGAACAUGUCCUGUAGUGGGGGAUAGCCCGGCGAAAGCCGGAUUAAUACCGCAUACGAUCCACGGAUGAAAGCGGGGGACCUUCGGGCCUCGCGCUAUAGGGUUGGCCGAUGGCUGAUUAGCUAGUUGGUGGGGUAAAGGCCUACCAAGGCGACGAUCAGUAGCUGGUCUGAGAGGACGAUCAGCCACACUGGGACUGAGACACGGCCCAGACUCCUACGGGAGGCAGCAGUGGGGAAUUUUGGACAAUGGGCGAAAGCCUGAUCCAGCAAUGCCGCGUGUGUGAAGAAGGACUUCGGGUUGUAAAGCACUUUUGUCCGGAAAGAAAUCCUUGACUCUAAUACAGUCGGGGGAUGACGGUACCGGAAGAAUAAGCACCGGCUAACUACGUG
Molecule: ribosomal RNA, 486 nt
Filed under: uncultured bacterium
Lineage: Bacteria
Description: partial 16S ribosomal RNA
Rfam family: Bacterial small subunit ribosomal RNA
Source: RNAcentral